RNAcentral lists this ribosomal RNA (374 nucleotides) under uncultured eukaryote. RNAcentral describes it as "partial 18S ribosomal RNA". It matches the Rfam family "Eukaryotic small subunit ribosomal RNA", at positions 592 to 976 of the family's 1831-position model. The record is from RNAcentral.
UAAUAGUGUAUAUUAAAGUUGUUGCAGUUAAAAAGCUCGUAGUUGAAUGUUGGUGUCGAACGAGCGGUCAGCUUCGGCUGUACUGCUCUCUCGACUCCUUCCUUCUGUGGACCACGUCGCACUUUACUGUGUGGCGCUAGGACGCAGAUCGUUUACUGUGAAAAAAUUAGAGUGUUCAAAGCAGGCCGUACGCUUGAAUACAUUAGCAUGGAAUAAUGGAAUAGGACGUCGGGCCUAUUUUGUUGGUUCUAGGACCGUCGUAAUGAUUAAUAGGGACAGUUGGGGCCGUUUAUAUUCCGUAGUCAGAGGUGAAAUUCUUGGAUUUACGGAAGAUAAACUACUGCGAAAGCAUUCGGCAAGGAUGUUUUCGUUAA